RNAcentral lists this unclassified non-coding RNA (406 nucleotides) under Hevea brasiliensis (rubber tree). Lineage: Eukaryota; Viridiplantae; Streptophyta; Magnoliopsida; Malpighiales; Euphorbiaceae. The record is from RNAcentral.
GCAAAUUGGGGACAAACAAAAUAUAAACUUCAAUGGAUCUCCCCAAAGAAAGUAGUUGGUUAACACUAAAAAGCUAGAAAGUCACUUUUAAGCAACUUAGUUUGUAUUUCAUUAAAGAUAGGCAACAGGUAAAAGCAAACAAAAAUUGAUGAUCACUGGUGCAGAAGAAGAAACAAAGAAUUAUUCCAUUAGAAUGCACACAUGCACCAGAUACCAUAAAUAGUUAAACAGUACAAGGAACGCUACUCCAAGGUUUUGUAAUAUGACAAAUUGUUUGUUUUGAGUGUGACUUUUACUUGGGGUAGAUGUAGACAACUGAUAAAAGCAUGCCAUUCUUCAGCUGUUAAAGUUGUGAUGGUCAUGAAGCAUAGGAGAAGAAUAACAGAGUGCCAAGCAUCACGCAAAG